GACGAACGCUGGCGGCGGGCUUAACACAUGCAAGUCGAACGGCAAGGCCCUGCUUGUGUGCGCUUCUCGAGUGGCGAACGGGUGAGUAACACGUGAGUAACCUACCCUUGACUUUGGGAUAACUUCAGGAAACUGGGGCUAAGACCGGAUAGGAGCUCCUGCUGCAGUGUGGGGGUUGGAAAGUUUCGGCGGUUGGGAAUGGACUCGCGGCUUAUCAGCUUGUUGGUGGGGUAGUGGCUUACCAAGGCUUUGACGGGUAGCCAGCCUGGGAGGGUGACCGGGCACAUAGGCACUGGGGUACGGCCCAGACGGCUACGGGAGGCAGGAGCGGGGAACAGUGCACAACGGGCGGAGGCCGGAUGGAGCAACGCCGCGUGCGAGAUGACGGCCGUCGGGUUGGAAAACGAUUUCGCUUGUGACGAAGCGUGAGUAACGGUAAUGAGUAAAGAAGAACCGGCUAACUACGU
RNAcentral lists this ribosomal RNA (467 nucleotides) under uncultured bacterium. RNAcentral describes it as "partial 16S ribosomal RNA". It matches the Rfam family "Bacterial small subunit ribosomal RNA", at positions 28 to 506 of the family's 1533-position model. The record is from RNAcentral.